AGCUGUGGGUCACGGAAGAGAACCAUGAAACCCAGCUACUAGUGUUCAGCUCGAUUAGGAUGAACCCAGGCACUUAGCCAUGCGGGAACAAUGGCAAGCCUUUAGCCCGAUCCGGAGUGGCAAUGGGCGCCUCACUGGAUCAGGAGCAGAGCAGACACCCUGCCAGAUCCGGAGGGGUGGAAGUCAGCGGCGGGUCUGCAACAGCGACAAACAGCAGUGGUGGACGGCAAGCGAAAACUUAGCUUGAGCUGUAACAAAUAUGGACCAGAAGAGUGUGCAAUUGCAAGAUUUUAUACAGUGAAAACAGAGCUCCCAUACAAAGGGAGGGGACCCAAAGGGGGUAGCUGUUGCUGGCUUGAAUGCCUGGGUUUAUAUCCUGAUCAUUGUCCCUCCUGCUGUGCUCUCAGGCAAUAGAUGAUUGGCUAUUUCUUUACCUCCUGUUUUUGCCUAAUUAGCAUUUUAGUGAGCUCUCCUUACUAUCUGAUUAGUCGGGUGUGAGCUAAGUUGCAAGCCCUAUGUUUAAAGGUGGAUGCGGUCACCUUCCCAG
RNAcentral lists this long non-coding RNA (547 nucleotides) under Homo sapiens (human). Its description in RNAcentral is "HSALNT0311269". Lineage: Eukaryota; Metazoa; Chordata; Mammalia; Primates; Hominidae. The record is from RNAcentral.